GAUAGAGUUAGUAUAUUUUAAAUUAUAUAUAGGGUGUAUGGUUUGAAUGAAUUAAAAAUAUUAGUAGAACAAUUCAUAUAACCAAACUAAGAUUUGCGGAAUGCAGUUAAAGUCGGUGGUAUGAAUUUAUUGUUGGUAACGGAAUACUUAUGCACAUAUUGAUAUGACAGCCCACAACACCAUUAAUCAUCUAAAUUAGAGAUUUUGGUUGAAUUAAGAAAUUAAAAACGUCCCUUUUGGUUCUAAUUAUUAGAAUUUACCUUUUUUUUUUU
Molecule: long non-coding RNA, 272 nt
Filed under: Gossypium barbadense (sea-island cotton)
Lineage: Eukaryota; Viridiplantae; Streptophyta; Magnoliopsida; Malvales; Malvaceae
Description: long non-coding RNA (GBAR_LNC013789)
Source: RNAcentral